RNAcentral lists this ribosomal RNA (407 nucleotides) under uncultured bacterium. RNAcentral describes it as "bacterial SSU rRNA". It matches the Rfam family "Bacterial small subunit ribosomal RNA", at positions 354 to 776 of the family's 1533-position model. The record is from RNAcentral.
GUGGGGAAUUUUCCGCAAUGGGCGAAAGCCUGACGGAGCAACGCCGCGUGAGGGACGAAGGCCUCUGGGCUGUAAACCUCUUUUCUCAAGGAAGAAGAUAUGACGGUACUUGAGGAAUAAGCCACGGCUAAUUCCGUGCCAGCAGCCGCGGUAAUACGGGAGUGGCAAGCGUUAUCCGGAAUUAUUGGGCGUAAAGCGUCCGCAGGCGGCUUUUCAAGUCUGCUGUUAAAGCGUGGAGCUUAACUCCAUCAUGGCAGUGGAAACUGAAAGGCUUGAGUAUGGUAGGGGCAGAGGGAAUUCCCGGUGUAGCGGUGAAAUGCGUAGAUAUCGGGAAGAACACCAGUGGCGAAGGCGCUCUGCUGGGCCAUUACUGACGCUCAUGGACGAAAGCCAGGGGAGCGAAAGGG